Molecule: long non-coding RNA, 618 nt
Organism: Magnolia sinica
Lineage: Eukaryota; Viridiplantae; Streptophyta; Magnoliopsida; Magnoliales; Magnoliaceae
Exons: 3
Source: RefSeq, a predicted model, not a curated record
AAAAAAAACCCGGGCACAUUUCAUUUCAUUUCCCUCUCUUUCCCUCUUUUCUCCCUCGCCCUUCCUCGAUCUCUCCGCGCGCCCUUCAUUUCCCUCUUCUCUCGCUCUCCCUUCCUCGAUCUCUCCGCGCGCCCUUCAUUUCCCUCUCUUUCCCUCUCUUCUCGCUCUUCCUUCUUCAAUUUCUCUUCCAUCUUGCUUCUCCAUCUCUCUCUCUCUCUCUCUCUCUCUCUCUCUCUCUCUAUCUCGCGCCUCUCCCUCUCCCUUCCUUGAUCUCCUUGAUUUCCCUCCCUCUCUCUUAAUGUCUCUCUCCCUCGUUCUCUUCGACGCACAGUUUCAUCAAUCUUUCUCCAAGAGUUGAAGAUAAUAGAAGAAAUCAGAGGAGGAAGUCGAAGGGUUUGGGACCCUACUCUGCCAAUAGAAAGAAAGUGGAGAAGGAAAUCAAGGAAAUGGCCGAGAAGGUCAAUUACUCUGUGGGUAUAUUUUCCUUGCAAUUAUCAAGCAGCCACUAUUUUUUUUUUUUUAUAGAUACCACUCCAGGCGUACUUUUCCAACCCCACUUAGUUGGGAUAAGGCUUAGACGAUGAUGAUGAAUCCAGGUACACUUUCUUGCAUGUAUGU